UCGCUUAGCCGGAACAGAACGUGUCCCCCCCCUUCCAAGGAGCUUCUUCCCCGUUUCCCAGAGCCCCACAGCCGCUGUCUCGCCCCCAGCCUCCUCCGAGGGCUCCCUCUGCCCCCCGCCGCUCAGCCCGGCUCCUUCUCGGCCCCGUACCCGGUCUCGGAGCCUGAAAUUGUCCCAGCAUGAGUGACAUUGGCUUUCCUAAUGUAAUGACUUAUGAAAGAUAUAAUCAUGUGUUAAAUUGAAUCCUCCGCUUAACUGUUAAUGGUGUGCUCUGGGCACAUUUACGUAUUAGAUGCUAUGGUAACUAAUUACCACUAGAAGAAGGGAUAAUACACUUUCCAGACUUUGACAAAUAAUUAUGAGUGUUCACAUCCCUGCUAGCAGCAGUUGCAGCGGAUCUGCUGGAAUGAGUAAGUGAAUAAAUGAAUGGGGAGAUUCUGCUGAACUGCUGACAAUGAUGUACAGUGGUGCUUCGCUGGCAUGACGUUUGGGGAAAACGAUUCUGCUGCACCACCACACAAAACCAAUUAGAGAACUAUUUUCUGCGACAGGGAUGACAAUCAUUCGCUCAUCUCAUGGGAAAGUACAAUCAGCAAAAUCGCAUUACCGGUACGGGGCAACGCCAGAAACUCCAAGCAUCGUUCCACAUUUUCCAAAUGAACUAGUUUGAGAACCAAUAAUUAGAACAAUAUAUAUUGAUAGAAUUUUUUGACAGGACCUUUAGACACCCACCAGGGGAGCAAAGUAAUGAUAGUCCAUAUACAGCAAGCUAUGCUGUGUUUGCCGAACAUAUAACAUCAUCUUUCUCAAAUCAGUAAGACAUAUAGAAAUUCUGUACGUCUUCAGAUGGGGACAUGAUAGGAGGUACUAACUAGCUUCAGCUUCUUCCUUGACUUGUGAAUGACAAACUGUUUCUCCUCAGUGAAUUCUUGAUGGCUAGUAUUUUCAUACCAAGGAAAGAGAACUUAAAGGGGAAUAUCUGUUAUGACAAACUCACAAAAUCAAAGAUCUUCCUGCAUAAGGCUGAAAUGAUCCAGAACUCACUCUAUUUACUCAGUCUUUAUCAAGGAAGGCUUCCUCAAAAUACCCAAACACAGGGAGAUUAGGUGAAAUGGAAUUUUGUCUAGCACACAAAUAGAAAUUUGUUAAACUAGAUUACACUCAUAGAUUGCUUAAACACACAAAACUCUAAACAUAGCCUUGCAUAAAGAAAUAAGCAUUUGAUUAAACACAGUAAGGAUUCUGAAGUAUGACUGCAUCUGGUUCUAUGAAUAUACUAAGGUAGUCUCUGAAUUACAACUAUUAAUCUGUAUUCAUAAGAAGCCACAACUGUAUAUACUGUGAAUAUACAUUUACAAUAAAAAAGACUAUAUUUCAACAAAAACUAUAUUUCAAUAAACUCAAUUUCAAGUAGGAAAAAACCCCUAAGUGUACCAGUUUCCAAAGAAAAAGCCCUGAAUGAAUAAAAAAUAUCACACAUUUAAUAGAAGUAAAAAUGCUCUUCCAAAUAAAAAAAAAAUGAACAGAUUUGGUAAGAGGAAGAAAAAUUUUAUUAACUAAACAUAUGGCUUGCAAUUUAAUUAAUUGACUUUUGAAGAAAAAUAUUAUUUUUAUUGCAAAGUAUUACUUGUAUCGAAAUAUAAAGCUAA
Pezoporus flaviventris is the source of this 1649-nucleotide long non-coding RNA. RefSeq lists it as uncharacterized. Lineage: Eukaryota; Metazoa; Chordata; Aves; Psittaciformes; Psittacidae. The transcript has 3 exons. The record is from RefSeq and is a predicted model, not a curated record.